This is a long non-coding RNA of Acomys russatus (golden spiny mouse), 418 nucleotides long. RefSeq lists it as uncharacterized. Lineage: Eukaryota; Metazoa; Chordata; Mammalia; Rodentia; Muridae. The transcript has 3 exons. The record is from RefSeq and is a predicted model, not a curated record.
CGUUGCAAGUGCUUCCUGGAGCGCAUCCGAGGUCACGAGUCAUGUGACAGCGGCUUGACAGGCGGCUUCAGGGAGUCGACUGGACUACGGGGACACCCGGGCAGGUCUCCCCAGGCUGGAGAUCGCGUGCGUCUGCAGAGGUCGCCCCGUCUGUCGGCGCGGGGACAGGGCGUUCAGAUUGAUCCUGUGAGAGAAGGGGGUUCAUCAUGGCGGACGAUCUAAAGCGAUUCCUCUACAAAAAGUUGCCAAGGUAAGAAAUUAACUAGUUUGUUGCUGAAUAAGUUCAGUGUAACACAUUAAUCUUACAAAGGUUUUUGUUUGUCCUUUUUAAAAUUCGUAUUUUACAUAUGUCACAUUUAAAUGCACACCUAACCCCAGCUGUCAUUACUAAUGAUUUGGGUUUAUAGAUAGAUGGCAU